GACGAACGCUGGCGGCGUGCCUAACACAUGCAAGUCGAACGAGGUCCAGGGGAGCUUGCUCCCUGACGACCUAGUGGCGAACGGGUGAGUAACACGUGAGAAACCUGCCUCGGAGUGGGGAAUAACUCGGGGAAACUCGAGCUAAUACCGCAUACCUUCACAUGAUCGCAUGGUCGAGUGAAGAAAGAAUUUCGCUCUGAGAGGGUCUCGCGGCCUAUCAGCUUGUUGGUGGGGUAACGGCCUACCAAGGCAACGACGGGUAGCUGGUUUGAGAGAACGAUCAGCCACACUGGGACAGAGACACGGCCCAGACUCCUACGGGAGGCAGCAGUGAGGAAUCUUGCGCAAUGGGCGAAAGCCGGACGCAGCAACGCCGCGUGCGGGAUGACGGCCUUCGUGGUUGUAAACCGCUUUCAGCAGGGACGAAAAUGACGGUACCUGCAGAAGAAGCCCCGGCUAACUACGUGCCAGCAGCCGCAGUAA
This 483-nucleotide ribosomal RNA is filed under the name uncultured bacterium. RNAcentral describes it as "partial 16S ribosomal RNA". It matches the Rfam family "Bacterial small subunit ribosomal RNA", at positions 28 to 523 of the family's 1533-position model. The record is from RNAcentral.